This 463-nucleotide ribosomal RNA is filed under the name uncultured bacterium. RNAcentral describes it as "partial 16S ribosomal RNA". It matches the Rfam family "Bacterial small subunit ribosomal RNA", at positions 28 to 505 of the family's 1533-position model. The record is from RNAcentral.
GACGAACGCUGGCGGCGUGCUUAACACAUGCAAGUCGUACGGUAAGGCCCUUUCGGGGGUACACGAGUGGCGAACGGGUGAGUAACACGUGAGUAACCUGCCCACAACUUUGGGAUAACGCUAGGAAACUGGUGCUAAUACUGGAUAUGUGCUCCUGCUGCAUGGUGGGGGUUGGAAAGCUCCGGCGGUUGUGGAUGGACUCGCGGCCUAUCAGCUUGUUGGUGGGGUAGUGGCCUACCAAGGCGGCGACGGGUAGCCGGCCUGAGAGGGUGACCGGCCACAUUGGGACUGAGAUACGGCCCAGACGCCUACGGGAGGCAGCAGUGGGGAAUAUUGCACAAUGGGCGCAAGCCUGAUGCAGCAACGCCGCGUGCGGGAUGACGGCCUUCGGGUUGUAAACCGCUUUCAGCAGGGACGAAGCUUUUUGUGACGGUACCUGCAGAAGAAGCACCGGCUAACUACG